CAACGGGCCACGGGAGAACCUGCGAGCAAACGGACCUGCCAGGAGGGAAUUAGUUUCUGGUCAGGGUGAAAAUUUAGAUGCCUUUUGUUAUUGUCACUUUAGCUCGCUGUGAACAUUUACCUAGUUAAUGAGUACGCGGGCUUGCUUAAGCUGGACAGACAGCAUCUCCCCACUGCCCGGGUUCUCUCUCAGGUCUUGCUGUGAGCAGUGGAUCAGGGAAAAUACCAGGAGGCCUGAGAAGGCUGUGCAGGCCUUGCACAUGUGUGUGCUUGUGUGUAUGUGUGUGCUUGUGUGUGCAUUUUUGUGUGUGCUUUGGGAGGACAAUGGUCCUGGUGCUCAUAUUGGUGUUUGGUGCUGUGUUCGUCAGGAUUUUGUGGCUGUGACCACCUGACAUGAUCAACUAAGAGGAGGAAAAGUUUACUUUGGCUCAUGGUUUCAGAGGUUCAGUCCACCAUGGGCUGACUCCAUUGCUCUGGGCCCAGGUGAGGCAGAACUUCAUGGCAGAAGGAUGUGGAGGAAGGAGGCUACCCAGCUCAGGGCAGAUGGGAGGCAGAGAGAGAGCAGGGAAGAGGCCAGGGGAGAUUCACCCCCGGGGCAGCCGCCUCCAGCCACACCCCACCUGCCUGUAGUAUCACCCAGUCAGUCCACUCAAACUAGGAUGGACUGACCACGUUACAGCUCAUAAUCUAAUCAUUUCACCUCUGAAUAUUCCUGCAUUAACUUAAGCUUUUUGGAGGAUGCCUCAUAUCCAAAUUAUAACAUUCCACCUCUGGUCCCCCCAAAGCCAUUACCAUCUCACAGUGCAAAAUACAUUUAGUCCAUCUUCAGGAGUUCUAUUAAUAUUUCCAGUACUCCUCGGAAGACUGAGUCCUAAAUCUCCUGGGACACUCAACACAAACUGUGGCUAUGAUCUCCUGUAAAGAUGCAAAAACUAGUCACCUACACUCAAUACACAGUGGCACAGGGUAAAAGAUACCAUCCCAAAGGGAGAAUAAGGCAUAGGGUGAAAGGAUGGGACCAAUGCAAACCAAAGCCCAGCUGGGCAAACAGGUCCUGGGAUGCCUGCACAGCCCCUGGACACUGGGCAGAUGUGCGCCCUCCCAGGGCUUUGCAGCCCUGCCCCUUGGCCUCGCUGGUCGUAGCGUACUCGGGCUUUCCUGUAGCCUGGCUUUCCCCACGGCCGGCAGCUUCUCCUGGCAGACAGGCACAUGACUGGUAAUUCUCAAUUCCUGGGCCUCCCUUCCAGCUUCAGCUUCACCUCCACAGCUUCCCACGUCACCCUCUCGGGGGCAGCCUGCAGGGGCUCUCACCCACUACAUUUUGGUCGACCUCCCAGACCUUCCACUACAACCUGGUAGGAGCCUCCCAAGAGCCCUUAACUGCA
This 1384-nucleotide long non-coding RNA is filed under the name Marmota monax (woodchuck). Lineage: Eukaryota; Metazoa; Chordata; Mammalia; Rodentia; Sciuridae. The record is from RNAcentral.